GUGAUGAGCCUCACGGUAGGCGAAAAAUGAGCGCAACGCCCUUCACUGA
RNAcentral lists this small nucleolar RNA (49 nucleotides) under Pyrobaculum islandicum DSM 4184. Its description in RNAcentral is "PISsR15". Lineage: Archaea; Thermoproteati; Thermoproteota; Thermoprotei; Thermoproteales; Thermoproteaceae. The record is from RNAcentral.